UUUGCAGAGAUGCGAAUGUGCCUUCGGGAACUGUGAGACAGGUGCUGCAUGGCUGUCGUCAGCUCGUGUUGUGAAAUGUUGGGUUAAGUCCCGCAACGAGCGCAACCCUUAUCCUUUGUUGCCAGCGAUUAGGUCGGGAACUCAAAGGAGACUGCCAGUGAUAAACUGGAGGAAGGUGGGGAUGACGUCAAGUCAUCAUGGCCCUUACGACCAGGGCUACACACGUGCUACAAUGGCGCAUACAAAGAGAAGCGACCUCGCGAGAGCAAGCGGACCUCAUAAAGUGCGUCGUAGUCCGGAUUGGAGUCUGCAACUCGACUCCAUGAAGUCGGAAUCGCUAGUAAUCGUGGAUCAGAAUGCCACGGUGAAUACGUUCCCGGGCCUUGUACACACCGCCCGUCACACCAUGGGAGUGGGUUGCAAAAGAAGUAGGUAGCUUAACCUUCGGGAGGGCGCUUACCACUUUGUGAUUCAUGACUGGGGUGAAGUCGUAACAAGGUAACCGUAGGGGAACCUGCGGUUGGAUCACCUCCUUACCUGAAAGAAGC
RNAcentral lists this ribosomal RNA (548 nucleotides) under Salmonella enterica subsp. enterica. Its description in RNAcentral is "bacterial SSU rRNA". It matches the Rfam family "Bacterial small subunit ribosomal RNA", at positions 997 to 1533 of the family's 1533-position model. The record is from RNAcentral. Lineage: Bacteria; Pseudomonadati; Pseudomonadota; Gammaproteobacteria; Enterobacterales; Enterobacteriaceae.